GAAGAUGGCGAGCCUUGUGAGAGACAUGUAUGAAGGAGUGAAUCGGGAUGAUAUGACUAAAUAUCAACGCAAAGCAUUCCGCCGCAAAAAGCUAAGUACAAAUCCCAAUGUUCUAUUUAGAAUAUAUAGGAAAGAUCGCCUACAAACACUGCAAUUCAGUUCUAUGUAUCUUGAUGAGUGGGUGGAGUGCUUGAAAUCUUACUCCACAAUUACUUUUCAAUAUCUCACAAGUAAUGUGUUCAGUCUCUGUGGUCUGCCAAGUGAAUUGCAAAAGUUUUGCAAUGAAUACUGUGGAAAUUUGGAAAAGAUUUGCACGUCCUUCGGAGGGUGCUCCUAUCGCGGUCGCACCGUGAUCCCCGCUUGAUUGGGCCCUGCAGCAAACGGACGAGCGGCGAAUCCCCAACAACCUGAUACCGACGCAAAUCCCCAACAACCUGAUACCGACGCAAAUCCCCAACAACCUGAUACCGACGCAAAUCCCCAACAACCUGAUACCGACGCAAAUCCCCAACAACCUGAUACCGACGCAAAUCCCCAACAACCUGAUACCGACGCAAAUCCCCAACAACCUGACCCGACUGUAACGUGCGGCGAAUAACCAAACAACCUAAUAGUACAAAUAAAUCUGAAAUCAAUAAAGGCAUUGUCUCUGUCUCAGUUAUUUUGUUAUUAUUAGAGGUCAACCAAUGGAUGUUUUUAUUACUGAUUACUGAUAAUUGUAACUAGGUUGGACUGUGACAACCAGUUACAAUUUUUAUUAAAAAGUACUGAAAAUGAAAAUGUACUGUAAUUUUUAAAUAAAUAUUACCUAUGAUAAUAUAUCAAUUACCUUCAUUCAUGAUUAUUCAUAGUGAAUUAACUAACAGAUACAACUUUACAAUUUGAAAAUUCAGUCAAAUUUAAAAAUAUGUCAGUAAAUGUAGAAAUUAACAAGGAACAAUAUGCAUUUAUUAAUGUUUGUAAGUUAUUGUAAAGUUUAUCAUAUCAUAUAAUGCAUUCUUUCUUGCACGUUGUUGGUUUUGAUCCACAGCAGACCAGAGAGCCAUUUAUGAAGCCGUGCUAAAGUCCUCCAGGACUGUGAUGGAUGCCAUGAAAGCAGAAUAUACCAGUAUUGGACGGGUUCAUGGACUGGCAGUCUGCGAGAAACUUACGAUGAUCCAUCGUGUGACUUUCUGUUGAACCACCUGUGAUGCUGAAUUAGGAAGAUGACAUCACAAUAACAACUGAUGAGGUGGAGCUGUUGACCUUCGUCUGUAUUUCACAUCACAUGUGUCCCAGUAUCCACAUAAAACAGCAUCCUUGACACACACACAUGUUUGGAGUAACACCAUAGCAGUAGCCCUACACACAAUGGACAAUUCAAACGGAGCCAAGUAACUUUUUCUCUAUUUGGUUGACUGCAUUCUAGUUUUAUGGUGAAUGUCAAGCUAGAGCUGAUAUGUCGUGUGUGCUGGACUUAUAUUCAGGAGAAUAGAGUAGAUCAUAUUUAGCAUGUACUGUACAUGUAUUGUUUGUGUCUUGCCAGAGGAGGAUGGGCACCCUCAGUUGAGUCUGGUUCCUCUCAAGGUUUUCCCUUCACUUCCUAAACCUCUUAUGGAGGGUUUUUUCCUUGCCACUGUCGCCUAUGGCUUGCUCACUGGGGGCUUUGAGGCACAAUUAUCUGUUUAGCUGUUUAGAAAUAAAAGGUCUAAAAUGUAAUUUGACCUUCAUGAUGUAGGAGAAAUUCUUAUUCACACUAGGAAAACACACUAGGUUCAAGGGAACUUAAAAAAAAGAACUAUUUAAACAUUAUUUUUAUUGUAUUUUUAACGUAUUUAUUUAUUUAUUGUAUUUAAUUAUGUAAUAUUGUAUUGUAUUAUAUUUAUAUUUUCCAUUUCAUAUGGAACAAAUUUUACUGCUAUGCAUUUUCAUGCUGCUUUUCAGUUUUU
Carassius gibelio (silver crucian carp) is the source of this 1928-nucleotide long non-coding RNA. RefSeq lists it as uncharacterized. The record is from RefSeq and is a predicted model, not a curated record. The transcript has 3 exons. Lineage: Eukaryota; Metazoa; Chordata; Actinopteri; Cypriniformes; Cyprinidae.